Molecule: ribosomal RNA, 429 nt
Filed under: Gemmatimonadota bacterium
Lineage: Bacteria; Pseudomonadati; Gemmatimonadota
Description: Gemmatimonadetes bacterium partial 16S ribosomal RNA
Rfam family: Bacterial small subunit ribosomal RNA
Source: RNAcentral
UAGGGAAUCUUCGGCAAUGGACGAAAGUCUGACCGAGCAACGCCGCGUGAGUGAAGAAGGUUUUCGGAUCGUAAAACUCUGUUGUUAGAGAAGAACAAGGACGUUAGUAACUGAACGUCCCCUGACGGUAUCUAACCAGAAAGCCACGGCUAACUACGUGCCAGCAGCCGCGGUAAUACGUAGGUGGCAAGCGUUGUCCGGAGUUAUUGGGCGUAAAGCGAGCGCAGGCGGUUUCUUAAGUCUGAUGUGAAAGCCCCCGGCUCAACCGGGGAGGGUCAUUGGAAACUGGGCGACUUGAGUGCAGAAGAGGAGAGUGGAAUUCCAUGUGUAGCGGUGAAAUGCGUAGCUAUAUGGAGGAACACCAGUGGCGAAGGCGGCUCUCUUGUCUGUAACUGACGCUGAGGCUCGAAAGCGUGGGGAGCAAACAGG